Molecule: ribosomal RNA, 447 nt
Filed under: uncultured bacterium
Lineage: Bacteria
Description: bacterial SSU rRNA
Rfam family: Bacterial small subunit ribosomal RNA
Source: RNAcentral
GUCCAGACUCCUACGGAGGCAGCAGUGGGGAAUAUUGCACAAUGGGGGAAACCCUGAUGCAGCGACGCCGCGUGAGUGAAGAAGUAAUUCGUUAUGUAAAGCUCUAUCAGCAGGGAAGAAAAUGACGGUACCUGAGUAAGAAGCCCCGGCUAACUACGUGCCAGCAGCCGCGGUAAUACGUAGGGGGCAAGCGUUAUCCGGAUUUACUGGGUGUAAAGGGAGCGUAGACGGCAGUGCAAGUCUGGAGUGAAAGGCAGGGGCUCAACCCCCGGACUGCUCUGGAAACUGUACGGCUGGAGUGCAGGAGAGGUAAGUGGAAUUCCUAGUGUAGCGGUGAAAUGCGUAGAUAUUAGGAGGAACACCAGUGGCGAAGGCGGCCUGCUGGACGAUGACUGACGUUGAGGCUCGAAAGCGUGGGGAGCAAACAGGAUUAGAUACCCCCGUACA